AGCUUCGGGUUCGGUCGAUACAAAUUCGUAGACACUAUUAUUAUUCCUGUUCCUAUUACUAUUAAUCAAAUUCACAAUAGAGCUCGACGGCCACCUUAAAUUGAAAAAUGCGAUUUAUAUAUAGACAGUUAAAAUGGAGUAUUUGUAUUUACAUAUAUUUGUCUAUGUGUUUUUGAACCAUUCUUCUAAAUGUGAUGAAACUUGGUAAAAUGGUUUUUGAUGAGUGUCCGCGAUAGGUUUCUGUCACAUUACUUACUUACUAUCAACUCAGAAUAGAUGUCACGCGUAUAACUUCAAGAAAUCAAUGUUAUUCAUAUAAUUAGCUACAGUCAUAACAUAUCGUAUCCGGGUUUCAGCAGUCUAAUGUCUAGUCUAAUCUAAAGUGAAUAUUUCAAAGCAGAGUAGCUUCAUAUUAAAACGGAUCAAAACUUAGCGUUUUUUCUUAGGGGACAAAUUGGUUUUUUGGUUCAAGAGAAAAUUGCCGGACUUGCGCUUUCGCUUUGACGCCGGUAUGCGAGGCAUGCUGCAGUUGGACCGAGUAAAUCACCCUAUAGCUCAAAAACCCCCAUCCGAGUAUCGGAUGAGACAAAACUCAUACAUAGAGGGCAUGGGGCAAAGUGAACGGCAACUUUUUUAUAUAGUUUAUAGACUACCGUUCUCACUACCCAUUUAAUGUAAUCUGUUUAACGGGUAGGACGGUAAUCCCAUUAACAUCUUUGGUCUUGGCCUUUAACAUCUUCGGCCACCGAGUCCCACACAUCCCGAGCGCCCCCUAAGCUUCGGAACUUCGUAGGAGGUACGGACCCCCGGCCCGCAAAAAUACGACAGUAAUAAUACCAAUCCGUGCAGACUAAGAAUCUGACAACCUAAGAAUUACGCGGAAAGAUGCAUAGGGAAAAAUUCACAUGAGGUCGAAAUUUCAAUUUUAUUUAUUUAUUGUCAUUGCAGGUCGACAAGUGGGCUAUAUGGCUAUAGGGCCACCUUAUAAUGAGUGGUCACCAUUGCUCAUGAACAUAAAAGCGGUCUUAUGGGUUACCCUAAUCUCCAGGCCGGACCAUAUUGCUUCGGGGCCAAAAUACACAGCCUUUAUAUUUCUACAUGCACGUUCUAUAUCUAUCAGUAUCGAAUUCGAAAUUCUAUUAAAACAUUACUGACUAAAAUAAUAUUAAAUGUCUAUAGUGUAACAUAUUUAAUCUUAUCAUAAAGAAAUUUAAAUAUUUUAUAAUACAAUUAUCUGUACACGGAUACAACUAAACAUUGAGCUGCAUUGACAUGAUUUUUUACGAAUAAUCGUAUUUUAAGGUAGAAUUCUAAAGUGAAAUUUACUACUAUAUUACAUUUAUUCAUUAUAUUCAAUUCUUCAACACAAAAAUUGAAAAAUACAUUUGUUGGCGCUAAUUUUAUCUACAUUAGAUAUUUUUGAACGACAAUUAAAAUAUUAUAACAAAAUACACCUAAAGAAGUUGAAAAGAUAUACUUAACGCUGCCUGAAAUAUAGUUUAAGCAAAAAUUAAAUGCUGCCUAUUUUAUAAGAUUUAUAGGCAUAAUAAAUGAAAUCAGCUGUAAAUGCGCCUUUUAUCUAUCGUCAUAAGGAAAAAUAAUCACGAUUAAAAAAAUAUUAAAUAGAUUACCUAUUAUUGAAAGAGAAAUGUUUGUUGAAUUCACAAAUAUUUACUUACAUCCUCGAAAGUUUCGAUCUAUUUUUGUUUCUAUUAUCAUUCUGUCGUUCUUCAAUGCCAGAUCGAUUAUCAUUAUUCGUAGCAUUCUGUUGAUUUUCCAUUUUACUUUGCUUUGCUAUAACAUCACUUCACAAUAGCAAAUUUCUACAUAGUUAUUAUCUAGCACAGAUGCUUUCCGCAAUCGUUAAAAUACUGAACUAAAACUUGCGUAGUAUCAUAAAUAAUUGAAGUUAUCGUUUCAUAUUGACAUUGAAAUAUAAAGAACGCUUCGAUGAUAAUAAAGUAUAUGAAGUUUAAUUAUCAUAAUUAGCCGAUAUAAAAUUAAAUACGCAACGGAACCCUUAUCUUAUAUGACCUGAAUCAAUAGAUGUAUGUAUGUAUUUGUGGAAUGUUUCUAAUAGAUAUUAAACUUGUAAACACGUGAAGGAUAUGUACCCGACUAGCAUUUUUUUACUUAUUUAAUGUAAUCAGUUGUUGUUUUACUGUUCAAGCAUUGAAAGUGUAAAACGCCUGUAAUCAUAGCGUGGCAUUGUUUCGAAAAACCAGCAAAGCAGUUUGCAUCUAAAUCUGAAUAUUUAGAAUAUAAAUACUUUGAGGUUUUAA
Molecule: long non-coding RNA, 2282 nt
Organism: Bombyx mori (domestic silkworm)
Lineage: Eukaryota; Metazoa; Arthropoda; Insecta; Lepidoptera; Bombycidae
Exons: 2
Source: RefSeq, a predicted model, not a curated record